AGCAACCUUCUCUUUGGCAGAGGAACAGUGUGCUAGACUUGCUCAGGACUCCUUACAACACAACACCUUCUCUGUUUUGUGCAGCACAAACUGGCCACCAGCCUGACUGGUCCCAACCACUGAACAGGAACAGCAAACUGGAAAGCACUGGUCUGCUACUGGAGCUAAGGAGACAGCCUGUAAAACAGGGUUGCAAUGACCUCCAAUCUCCAUGCACCUUGAACUGAAUAGAAAAUCCACGUGUAAUACAGACAUUCGUGUUACAAACAGCAGAUGAAAGAGGUAGUAGGUUAAAGAACCAGAAACAUGGAAGACGGAAAAGAAGCCCCAGGUCUUGAAGACUGCAUGAAGGGAUCAGGAAGAUAUUUCCGUGCAGUGACCUGAAACAAGAUCUUCAGGGUUGCAUACGUUCUUCAUUAUCUGCCUAUACAACAUCUUUUCUAAAGACCAUGCUGCAAAAUUCAAUCUAAUAAAAAUUUGCCUCCUGAUUUUCAGAGACCCAUUUUUAUGCUGGACUAAUCCGCUAACUCCAGUAAUGUCAGGGAGAGAUGCAUUUUCCAGUUUCAGUUCAUGUAUAUCUCUAGUCACACAGACUAUAAGCUUCAAUAAGGACUACUUUGGACUAUUUUAAGAAUAAGUUUAGCUUUUUUUUUUUUUAAAUUCUCAAACUCAACUAUGAAAUUGAACAAAACCACAUAACUUGUCACUAAUCUCUCAGUUUAGAUAGAUCCAGAUAGAGCGAAGAUAAUGGCAUAUAUUGAGUGGUACAAGCGCAAGAAUUAUAUUAAGCUAGGAAGGCACUAAGCUGUCAUUAGAAAUCUGUGGUGUCUUGGUGUGAUCUCUUGGUGUAAUACCCAUUCAUUGAAGGUCCUGUCAAUCAGGAUGUAUUAGAAAUGAUUUAAAACUUGUGUUGCUCAAAAAGAUCUUCAGUACCAAAUUUACAUGAACAUUUCAGAUUUUAGGGUUUCUGACAUAAUAGCCUAUGUCAUGAGAUGGGGUGUUCACUGCUCUAACUUCAUAAACAAGUCAAGACGAAUAAGCAAAAAUGAAGAUACAAUAAUGGAAAGAAGCCCCAAAACUGAGAAGCAAAUGAUCUAAAGCUCAUGCUGGAAAAUAUGCAGUAGGUCAACAUGGAGUAACAUACUCUGGUCACACAAGAUAGGCCAACGGAAAGUGAGGAGCAAACUCUGCCUCUAAAACAAAUAAAGGCAUGUAAGUGCAUAUUUUCUCUUUAAUUCCAUGCUAUGGGACUUGCAAACACAAAGGUUUUAUCAA
This is a non-coding RNA of Meleagris gallopavo (turkey), 1275 nucleotides long. The record is from RefSeq and is a predicted model, not a curated record. Lineage: Eukaryota; Metazoa; Chordata; Aves; Galliformes; Phasianidae.